CGGGGCGGCCACGCCUGGGAGCAUCAUGGCGGCCUCCCCGGUGCGCUCUUGCCGCCGCCUGUUGGGACUGCGCUCCAGGGCUGCUGACUCCGGUGGGAGUGGCUGCCCCGCGGGUUUCAGCGGAUUCGGUAGAGACGAUUUGUUCGUUGCUGCUUACUGCCUCGUCCAACACCGGCGAACGAAUGUGUGGGGCCAAGAUGAGAAAGUACGAGGAAAGGAAGGCCGGGUCUUGGUAUCCCGCCUUCCUGACCGAAGAGCCUGUUUCCCUCCUUGGGUUGACUUUGAUUUGCUCUGUAGUGAAUUUCCUUUAUCAAGAGCUUCAUUUUGAAAUGGAUCUAACCUUGAGUACCUCCUCAUCACUUUCCUAUAUUAGUCAGUCUGACUUCAGAGAGGCACAUUUACAGGAGGUAAGAAGAAUCCCAAAGCUGCGGAAGCCUAUCUGGAAGAAAUCUUCAGUCCAAGUCUUUGGACCAAGAAGCAAGUCUGGGUAUGUUGGAUGUUUGUGAACGUUUAUAUUUGCAUGUUCAUGACCCUCAUGGUUGCAAUAGGGAGGAGUGGUAGAAAAAAGGAGUUUUAUUUUAUCUUUUAGUCUAUUGUUAUGUCUCCUGAAUACAUCAGCAGAGUUUAAAAGUUAUUUUUACAUACACCAAAGGUUGAAGUCCGCUGUAUCAAAGUACCAUCUAAGAUUCUGACUUGGGGAAGUAGUGUGCUACCAUCCCUCUACUGUCCAGUAGCACCAGCAGCUUGACAUCAAUAUCAGAAUCUUCUAUCCUCUUUGGUGACCUCAGAAGUUCAUGAAUAUAAAUAUAGUGGUGUUUUCUUCUGAAAACAGAAGAUUUUUUCCCCCGUUUCUGAGAUUUCUAUGAGGUUAUCCGGUUUAUAAGGGAAAAUGCGGUCUGCUUAUGAAAAUGCUCAUAGUCAAUUUAGUUCACAAAUAUGGCAUUUUCUUUAAAGAAGAAGAAACAUGGGACACCUGGGUGGCUCAGUAGUUUAGCGUUUGCCUUUGGUUCAGGCUGCAAUCUUGAGGUCCUGGGAUCAAGUCCCACAUCGGGCUCCCUGUGGGGAGCCUGCUUCUUCCUCUGCCUGCUUCUGCCUCUCUCUCUGUGUGU
Molecule: long non-coding RNA, 1109 nt
Filed under: Vulpes vulpes (red fox)
Lineage: Eukaryota; Metazoa; Chordata; Mammalia; Carnivora; Canidae
Description: lncRNA (ENSVVUG00000011172.1)
Source: RNAcentral